GACGAACGCUGGCGGCGUGCUUAACACAUGCAAGUCGAACGAUGAACCCGGAGCUUGCUCCGGUGGAUUAGUGGCGAACGGGUGAGUAACACGUGAGUAACCUGCCCUUGACUCUGGAAUAACUGCGGGAAACUGUAGCUAAUACCGGAUACGACCCUCGGCGGCAUCGCCAGGGGGUGGAAAGAAUUUCGGUCAAGGAUGGACUCGCGGCCUAUCAGCUAGUUGGUGAGGUAACGGCACACCAAGGCGACGACGGGUAGCCGGCCUGAGAGGGUGACCGGCCACACUGGGACUGAGACACGGCCCAGACUCCUACGGGAGGCAGCAGUGGGGAAUAUUGCACAAUGGGCGCAAGCCUGAUGCAGCAACGCCGCGUGAGGGAUGACGGCCUUCGGAUUGUAAACCUCUUUUAGUAGGGAAGAAGCGAAAGUGACGGUACCUGCAGAAAAAGCACCGGCUAACUACGUGCCAGCCGCCGCGGUAA
RNAcentral lists this ribosomal RNA (484 nucleotides) under uncultured bacterium. Its description in RNAcentral is "partial 16S ribosomal RNA". It matches the Rfam family "Bacterial small subunit ribosomal RNA", at positions 28 to 523 of the family's 1533-position model. The record is from RNAcentral.